AGAGUUUGAUCAUGGCUCAGGACGAACGCUGGCGGCGUGCUUAACACAUGCAAGUCGAACGGAAAGGCCCUUCGGGGUACUCGAGUGGCGAACGGGUGAGUAACACGUGGGUGAUCUGCCCUGCACUUUGGGAUAAGCCUGGGAAACUGGGUCUAAUACCGGAUAGGACCAAGAGAUGCAUGUCUUUUGGUGGAAAGCUU
Molecule: ribosomal RNA, 200 nt
Filed under: uncultured bacterium
Lineage: Bacteria
Description: partial 16S ribosomal RNA
Rfam family: Bacterial small subunit ribosomal RNA
Source: RNAcentral